Molecule: small RNA, 482 nt
Filed under: Tuber longispinosum
Lineage: Eukaryota; Fungi; Ascomycota; Pezizomycetes; Pezizales; Tuberaceae
Description: eukaryotic LSU rRNA
Rfam family: 5.8S ribosomal RNA (bases 70-223)
Source: RNAcentral
AUCUCCACAUUAACAGAGUAUUUGAUUAUGCUGUCUGAACUGGCUAUGCGUCAGAUUUACUGAAGUAAAAACUUUCAACAACGGAUCUCUUGGCUCUCGCAUCGAUGAAGAACGCAGCGAAAUGCGAUAGGUAAUGUGAAUUGCAGAAUUCAGUGAAUCAUCGAAUCUUUGAACGCACAUUGCACCCUUUGGUAUUCCUUAGGGCAUGCCUGUUCGAGCGUCACUAGACACCUUAUCACAACAUUUGUGGUCUUGGCAGGAGUGAAUUUGCUAGUCUAUGAAAAUAUUCCAGCUGUCCACUGCGCUAAAAAUUAUGGGAAGGUUACCAGGCGUGAACAACAGACUUUAUAAAUGGUUGCAGGACCUGUAUCAGUCACAAGUUAUGUCUGGUCCUUACCUUAAGGACCCCCAUCCAAGAUGAACUAUGGGUUGACCUCGAAUCAGGUAGGGAUACCCGCUGAACUUAAGCAUAUCAAUAAGCG